RNAcentral lists this ribosomal RNA (377 nucleotides) under uncultured eukaryote. RNAcentral's name for it is "partial 18S ribosomal RNA". It matches the Rfam family "Eukaryotic small subunit ribosomal RNA", at positions 592 to 976 of the family's 1831-position model. The record is from RNAcentral.
CAAUAGCGUAUAUUUAAGUUGCUGCAGUUAAAAAGCUCGUAGUUGGAUUUCGGGUGGGAAUGGCCGGUCCGCCGUUUCGGUGUGCACUUGCUACGCCCACCUUGCUGCCGGGGACGUGCUCUUGAGUUCACGCUCGGGACACGGAGUCGGCGAGGUUACUUUGAGUAAAUUAGAGUGUUCAAAGCAGGCCUACGCUCUGAAUACAUUAGCAUGGAAUAACACGAUAGGACUCUGGCCUAUCUUGUUGGUCUGUAGGACCGGAGUAAUGAUUAAGAGGGACAGUCGGGGGCAUUCGUAUUUCAUUGUCAGAGGUGAAAUUCUUGGAUUGACGAAAGACAAACUGCUGCGAAAGCGUCUGCCAAGGAUGUUUUCAUUGA